Molecule: ribosomal RNA, 467 nt
Filed under: uncultured bacterium
Lineage: Bacteria
Description: partial 16S ribosomal RNA
Rfam family: Bacterial small subunit ribosomal RNA
Source: RNAcentral
GACGAACGCUGGCGGCGUGCUUAACACAUGCAAGUCGAACGGAAAGGCCCUGCUUUUGUGGGGUGCUCGAGUGGCGAACGGGUGAGUAACACGUGAGUAACCUGCCCUUGACUUUGGGAUAACUUCAGGAAACUGGGGCUAAUACCGGAUAGGAGCUCCUGCUGCAUGGUGGGGGUUGGAAAGUUUCGGCGGUUGGGGAUGGACUCGCGGCUUAUCAGCUUGUUGGUGGGGUAGUGGCUUACCAAGGCUUUGACGGGUAGCCGGCCUGAGAGGGUGACCGGCCACAUGGGGCCUAGGGGAGGCCCAAGUCGCGAACGGGGGGCAGGGGGGGGAAAUAUGCCAAAGGGGGGGGGAGCCUGAGACGGAAACCCCGGGGGCGGAAAACCGGCUUUUGGGUUGAAAACCCCUUUCCCCGGAAACAAGGCGGGAUGGACGGUAAUGGGUAAAAAAGCCCCGGCUAACUACGU